CAGGUUAGCAUAUCUCUCACGCCCUUUCACUCACAGUGCCAGUCUGGCGCCUUUUGAACAGCAAAGCAGCUGGGUACACUCCAUACAGACCAUAAAAGCCACUGUGAUCAGGACUAUCAGGCGCCAGGCAUGAGUCUCACCGUAGAAGAGUGGUCUGGGCUCCUCUGCGACUCCACAGGGCAGCAUGCCGUUGUUGGGUGCCAGGGCCGGGCCAGGUGUCUGCGUGCCCCGGUCUUCACACUUUAUCUCCUGAAAAUAGGUGCGCCAGCUGUGUGGGUCCGGCUCGAACACAUCAUCCUCUUCAUCGUCCAUGCGGGGGCACUUUGAGAUGAGCAGCCUUAAAGGGCAGUUACUGGUGAUCCUCCCCUCUGGGCUAUCAACGAUCAAUAAACCCCCUGGACAGCUGCAGCUGAGGCGGACCCUAUGCAUUCUCUCACACAUCCUCACCCUGCCCCCAACUCCUCUUUCUCUUCUCUAUUCCUCCGCGUCCAUCAGCUGUGAUCAUGUCCCACCACUGAGCAGUGUGAGAAGUCACGGGUCCGUGCCUCCUCUGUCCUGCCUGAAUUGGAUGGACCUCUUGUGUUUUUUUUUUUUCACACACCUGCAGCCUCUCCAAAAGAGGUUGGCAUGCACUGGGGAAGAGAGGAUUGGUUUCCUCACUCAGUGUGAUAUUUGGACAUUUGAUCUCCUCUUGCAUGAGUGAGCACUGUAAACAACAAAAGGGUGCAAAGAUGUGAGAGCAUUAGCUGCAGCUUCCUUUUGUGUCCCAGCCAAACAAAAAAGACCCCACAUACUUAAGAGACAAUAACGAAAACCCCUGUAAUUACUAAAGAGACAGUAUAGGAAUCUGUUUAAGUACAGGUCAUUGUCAUAGAAACGCUAAGGACGUCAAAGUAUUCCAAAUGCAGGUAAUAAAAGUUGGGAAAAAUUACAUUUUUAAUUUGCUACUGAGCAUUUGACUGUUCAAGUGGGAUACAAUAUUAAUGAAGAACUCAUGUAUACUGUAUUGAUUACAGUUUACAUAAGAUAACAAACAUGAGUUAUUUAUUAGCAUGCAUUAGUCUAUGAUAUUAGCAUUUGAGAGCAAACACACAAAUCAUUGAGGCCAUAAAGCAGCUCUCAGUGGGACAUACAUACAGGCCUCUAUAACAUAAAUAAUGAAUAUGGAUAUAUCCACUGUACCU
Long non-coding RNA from Labrus bergylta (ballan wrasse), 1184 nucleotides. RefSeq lists it as uncharacterized. The record is from RefSeq and is a predicted model, not a curated record. NCBI's taxonomy places the organism in Eukaryota, Metazoa, Chordata, Actinopteri, Labriformes, Labridae.